Molecule: long non-coding RNA, 242 nt
Filed under: Erythranthe guttata (spotted monkey flower)
Lineage: Eukaryota; Viridiplantae; Streptophyta; Magnoliopsida; Lamiales; Phrymaceae
Description: long non-coding RNA (EGUT_LNC003905)
Source: RNAcentral
UGGCGUCAAUGAGAUUUCUCAUCCGUUGUACUCUUAUUUUGGACGGUCUGAUCAGUUCUCCGGUGGAGUAGCUCAAAGACUUCGUAGUAGAGACGUGGCGGCAAGCGGAGGGGGAAGGGAAAAGAUGGCGGCAUCGGGGCUGAGGUGAAAGGGGGAAAUGGCGGCGACCGGGUUGAGAUGAAAGGGGAGAGAUGGCGGCGUAGAGAGAAAAGAGACAGAGGGACCCCGAUUGUAAAUAACGG